This 334-nucleotide ribosomal RNA is filed under the name uncultured eukaryote. Its description in RNAcentral is "partial 18S ribosomal RNA". It matches the Rfam family "Eukaryotic small subunit ribosomal RNA", at positions 1470 to 1796 of the family's 1831-position model. The record is from RNAcentral.
CCCUUAGAUGUCCGGGGCCGCACGCGCGCUACACUGAAGGAAUCAGCGUGGCUUUCUCCCUGACCCGAAAGGGUUGGGAAACCCGUUGAAUCUCCUUCGUGAUAGGGAUUGGGGCUUGAAAUUGUUCCCCAUGAACGAGGAAUUCCCAGUAAGCGCGAGUCAUAAGCUCGCGUUGAUUACGUGCCUGCCCUUUGUACACACCGCCCGUCGCUACUACCGAUUGAACGGUUUAGUGAGGGCCUCGGAUUGGUCUCGGCCCGCUCUUUACCGGGCGGCGCCGUUGGUCGAGAAGACGCUCGAACUUGAUCGUUUAGAGGAAGUAAAAGUCGUAACA